This 489-nucleotide ribosomal RNA is filed under the name uncultured Lactobacillus sp. RNAcentral describes it as "bacterial SSU rRNA". It matches the Rfam family "Bacterial small subunit ribosomal RNA", at positions 71 to 524 of the family's 1533-position model. The record is from RNAcentral. Lineage: Bacteria; Bacillati; Bacillota; Bacilli; Lactobacillales; Lactobacillaceae.
CUUUGCACUCUGUGAAAACAAGAAUACAAGGCUAGCGGGCGGGACGGGGGUGAGUAACGACGUGGGGUAACCCUGCCCCAAGAGAUCGGGGAUAACACCUGGGAACAGAUGCUAAUACCCGGGAUAACACAGAUGAUGCCUAUCAACUGUUUUAAAAGAUGGGUUCUGCUAUCACUCUUGGAUGGACCUGCGGUGCAUUAGCUAGUUGGUAGGGUAACGGGCCUACCAAGGCGAUGAUGCAUAGCCGAGUUGAGAGACUGAUCGGCCACAUUGGGACUGAGACACGGCCCAAACUCCUACGGGAGGCAGCAGUAGGGAAUCUUCCACAAUGGACGCAAGUCUGAUGGAGCAACGCCGCGUGAGUGAAGAAGGGUUUCGGCUCGUAAAGCUCUGUUGUUGGUGAAGAAGGACAGGGGUAGUAACUAACCUUUGUUUGACGGUAAUCAAUUAGAAAGUCACGGCUAACUACGUGCCAGCAGCCGCGGUAAU